RNAcentral lists this ribosomal RNA (1887 nucleotides) under Escherichia coli. Its description in RNAcentral is "partial 23S ribosomal RNA". It matches the Rfam family "Bacterial large subunit ribosomal RNA", at positions 225 to 2136 of the family's 2925-position model. The record is from RNAcentral. Lineage: Bacteria; Pseudomonadati; Pseudomonadota; Gammaproteobacteria; Enterobacterales; Enterobacteriaceae.
UCAACCGAGAUUCCCCCAGUAGCGGCGAGCGAACGGGGAGCAGCCCAGAGCCUGAAUCAGUGUGUGUGUUAGUGGAAGCGUCUGGAAAGGCGCGCGAUACAGGGUGACAGCCCCGUACACAAAAAUGCACAUGCUGUGAGCUCGAUGAGUAGGGCGGGACACGUGGUAUCCUGUCUGAAUAUGGGGGGACCAUCCUCCAAGGCUAAAUACUCCUGACUGACCGAUAGUGAACCAGUACCGUGAGGGAAAGGCGAAAAGAACCCCGGCGAGGGGAGUGAAAAAGAACCUGAAACCGUGUACGUACAAGCAGUGGGAGCACGCUUAGGCGUGUGACUGCGUACCUUUUGUAUAAUGGGUCAGCGACUUAUAUUCUGUAGCAAGGUUAACCGAAUAGGGGAGCCGAAGGGAAACCGAGUCUUAACUGGGCGUUAAGUUGCAGGGUAUAGACCCGAAACCCGGUGAUCUAGCCAUGGGCAGGUUGAAGGUUGGGUAACACUAACUGGAGGACCGAACCGACUAAUGUUGAAAAAUUAGCGGAUGACUUGUGGCUGGGGGUGAAAGGCCAAUCAAACCGGGAGAUAGCUGGUUCUCCCCGAAAGCUAUUUAGGUAGCGCCUCGUGAAUUCAUCUCCGGGGGUAGAGCACUGUUUCGGCAAGGGGGUCAUCCCGACUUACCAACCCGAUGCAAACUGCGAAUACCGGAGAAUGUUAUCACGGGAGACACACGGCGGGUGCUAACGUCCGUCGUGAAGAGGGAAACAACCCAGACCGCCAGCUAAGGUCCCAAAGUCAUGGUUAAGUGGGAAACGAUGUGGGAAGGCCCAGACAGCCAGGAUGUUGGCUUAGAAGCAGCCAUCAUUUAAAGAAAGCGUAAUAGCUCACUGGUCGAGUCGGCCUGCGCGGAAGAUGUAACGGGGCUAAACCAUGCACCGAAGCUGCGGCAGCGACGCUGAUGCGUUGUUGGGUAGGGGAGCGUUCUGUAAGCCUGCGAAGGUGUGCUGUGAGGCAUGCUGGAGGUAUCAGAAGUGCGAAUGCUGACAUAAGUAACGAUAAAGCGGGUGAAAAGCCCGCUCGCCGGAAGACCAAGGGUUCCUGUCCAACGUUAAUCGGGGCAGGGUGAGUCGACCCCUAAGGCGAGGCCGAAAGGCGUAGUCGAUGGGAAACAGGUUAAUAUUCCUGUACUUGGUGUUACUGCGAAGGGGGGACGGAGAAGGCUAUGUUGGCCGGGCGACGGUUGUCCCGGUUUAAGCGUGUAGGCUGGUUUUCCAGGCAAAUCCGGAAAAUCAAGGCUGAGGCGUGAUGACGAGGCACUACGGUGCUGAAGCAACAAAUGCCCUGCUUCCAGGAAAAGCCUCUAAGCAUCAGGUAACAUCAAAUCGUACCCCAAACCGACACAGGUGGUCAGGUAGAGAAUACCAAGGCGCUUGAGAGAACUCGGGUGAAGGAACUAGGCAAAAUGGUGCCGUAACUUCGGGAGAAGGCACGCUGAUAUGUAGGUGAAGUCCCUUGCGGAUGGAGCUGAAAUCAGUCGAAGAUACCAGCUGGCUGCAACUGUUUAUUAAAAACACAGCACUGUGCAAACACGAAAGUGGACGUAUACGGUGUGACGCCUGCCCGGUGCCGGAAGGUUAAUUGAUGGGGUCAGCGCAAGCGAAGCUCUUGAUCGAAGCCCCGGUAAACGGCGGCCGUAACUAUAACGGUCCUAAGGUAGCGAAAUUCCUUGUCGGGUAAGUUCCGACCUGCACGAAUGGCGUAAUGAUGGCCAGGCUGUCUCCACCCGAGACUCAGUGAAAUUGAACUCGCUGUGAAGAUGCAGUGUACCCGCGGCAAGACGGAAAGACCCCGUGAACCUUUACUAUAGCUUGACACUGAACAUUGAGCCUUGAUG